AGAGAAUCAAACCCAAGUCAAUUGCAUUGAUCAACAGUUGCAAAAAGCAUGCUUUCCAUAUAUCAGACUAUUGGUCAGAGAAUCCAGUUUAUUGUAAUAAACUUAACAAAUGCAGAAAUACAAGAACCAGAAGCAAAAAGGAUGCUUUCCAUAUAUCAAACUAUUGGGUCAGAGAAUCAAACCCAAGUCAAUUACAUUGAUCAACAUUUGUAAAAAACAUGCUUUCCAUAUAUCAGACUAUUGGUCAGAGAAUCCAGUUUAUUGUAAUAAACUUAACAAAUGCAGAAAUACAAGAACCAGAAGCAAAAAGGAUGCUUUCCAUAUAUCAAACUAUUGGGUCAGAGAAUCAAACCCAAGUCAAUUGCAUUGAUCAACAGUUGCAAAAAGCAUGCUUUCCAUAUAUCAGACUA
RNAcentral lists this long non-coding RNA (410 nucleotides) under Androctonus crassicauda. Lineage: Eukaryota; Metazoa; Arthropoda; Arachnida; Scorpiones; Buthidae. The record is from RNAcentral.